GAUGAACGCUGGCGGCGUGCCUAAUACAUGCAAGUCGAGCGAACAGACGAGGAGCUUGCUCCUCUGACGUUAGCGGCGGACGGGUGAGUAACACGUGGAUAACCUACCUAUAAGACUGGGAUAACUUCGGGAAACCUGAGCUAAUACCGGAUAAUAUAUUGAACCGCAUGGUUCAAUAGUGAAAGACGGUUUUGCUGUCACUUAUAGAUGGAUCCGCGCCGCAUUAGCUAGUUGGUAAGGUAACGGCUUACCAAGGCAACGAUGCGUAGCCGACCUGAGAGGGUGAUCGGCCACACUGGAACUGAGACACGGUCCAGACUCCUACGGGAGGCAGCAGUAGGGAAUCUUCCGCAAUGGGCGAAAGCUUGACGGAGCAACGCCGCGUGAGUGAUGAAGGUCUUCGGAUCGUAAAACUCUGUUAGUAGGGAAGAACAAAUGUGUAAGUAACUAUGCAUGUCUUGACGGUACCUAAUCAGAAAGCCACGGCUAACUACGUG
This 497-nucleotide ribosomal RNA is filed under the name uncultured bacterium. RNAcentral describes it as "partial 16S ribosomal RNA". It matches the Rfam family "Bacterial small subunit ribosomal RNA", at positions 28 to 507 of the family's 1533-position model. The record is from RNAcentral.